This 250-nucleotide unclassified non-coding RNA is filed under the name Hevea brasiliensis (rubber tree). The record is from RNAcentral. Lineage: Eukaryota; Viridiplantae; Streptophyta; Magnoliopsida; Malpighiales; Euphorbiaceae.
GCCUCUUUACUCAUGCAAGCCCCUCUCUCAACCUUUACUCUUCACAGGACAAAGACUUCGUUUAGCAAGGGCUUAGCCUCUCAUAAAGAAAGACGACUGAUUUCUUCUUCAAUUAUGAUCGCCUCUAUUUUUCUUACUCUAUUUGCUACUUGGAUUUAAUUUUCUCUUUUCAAUUUCUUCUAAAUCCGUGUUGUUUCUCUACUUUUAAACAAGUUUGCUUGUGUAAUUUAUAAUAAUAGGUCAAUUUUUU